Molecule: ribosomal RNA, 165 nt
Filed under: Triticum aestivum (bread wheat)
Lineage: Eukaryota; Viridiplantae; Streptophyta; Magnoliopsida; Poales; Poaceae
Description: partial small subunit ribosomal RNA
Source: RNAcentral
AUGUAUCUUAUCUUACGCCACUUACUCUAGUUUUACUUUGUGGAAGACGUCCGAUUGAAUGAUCUCUAGUGGGUUCUAUUACCAACUGUACGCAGGCAUGUUUCCUUCUUAUUUUACCAGCCUCCAUGGUUCCGUCAGUGUAGAGGAAAGUCAUCAAUCCCCUGA